GGGUUUCUGUUGAGUGUGGGUUUGGUGGUGUGUUGGGUGUGUGCUGGGCUGUUAUCAGGGGAUGGUUGGGUUGUUAUCAGUCACAGUGUUGGGCUGUUAUCAGUCCAACUAUUGGGCUGUUAUCAAUGAAGAUGUGGGCUGUUAUCAGUCCAGGUGUUGGGCUGUUAUCAGUCACAGUGUUGGGCUGUUAUCAGUCCAGGGGUUGGGCUGUUAUCAGUCACAGUGUUGAGCUGUUAUCAGGGGAUGGUUAGGCUGUUUUCAGUCCAGGUGUUGGACUGUUAUCAAUCACAGUGUUGGGCUGUUAUCAGUCCAGGGGUUGGGCUGUUAUCAGUCACAGUGUUGAGCUGUUAUCAGUCCAACUAUUGGACUGUUAUCAGUCAAGAUGUGGGCUGUUAUCAGGGGAUGGUUAGGAUGUUAUCAGUCCAGGUGUUGGACUGUUAUCAGUCACAGUGUUGGGCUGUUAUCAGUCCAACUAUUGGACUGUUAUCAGUCAAGAUGUGGGCUGUUAUCAGGGGAUGGUUAGGCUGUUAUCAGUCCAGGUGUUGGACUGUUAUCAGUCACAGUGUUAGGCUGUUAUCAGUCCAGGGGUUGGGCUGUUAUCAGUCACAGUGUUGAGCUGUUAUCAGUCCAGGUGUUGGACUGUUAUCAGUCACAGUGUUGGGCUGUUAUCAGUCCAGGGGUUGGGCUGUUAUCAGUCACAGUGUUGAGCUGUUACCAGGGGAUGGUUAGGCUGUUAUCAGUCCAAAUAUUGGGGCUGUUAUCAAUGAAGAUGUGGGCUGUUAUCAGUCACAAGUGUUGGGCUGUUAUCAGUCCAGGUGUUGGGCUGUUAUCAGGGAAUGGUUGGGCUGUUGUCAGUCCAGGGGUUGUAGGGCUGUUUUUGGGGUGUUAUUGGGGUGUUAUAGGGCUGUUAUUGGGGUGUUGUCAGGGUGUUAUUGGGGUGUUCUCUGGCUGUUUUUGGGGUGCUACAGGGCUGUUUUUGGGGUGUUGUAGGGCUGUUAUCGGGGUGUUUUUGGGGUGCUGUAGGGCUGUUUUUGGGGUGUUAUUGGGGUGCUGUAGGGCUGUUAUCAGGCUGUUAUCAGGGUGUUUUUGGGGUGUUGUAGGGCUAUUAUCGAGCUGUUAUCAGGCUGUUUUUGGGGUGUUGUAGGGCUGUUUUUGGGGUGUUAUUGGGGUGAUGUAGGGCUGUUAUCAGGUUGUUUUUGGGUUGCUGUAGGGCUGUUUUUGGGGUGUUUUUGGGGUGCUGUAGGGCUGUUAUCGGGCUGUUUUUGGGGUGCUGUAGGGCUGUUUUUGGGGUGUUUUUGGGGUGUUUUUGGGGUGCUGCAGGGCUGUUUUUGGGGUGUUUUUGGGGUGCUGUAGGGUUGUUAUCGGGCUGUUUUUGGGGUGCUGCAGGACUGUUUUUGGGGUGUUAUUGGGGUGCUGUAGGGCUGUUUUUGGGCUGUUUUUGGGGUGCUGCAGGGCUGUUAUUGGGGUGCUGCAGGGCUGUUAUCGGGGUGUUUUUGGGGUGCUGCAGGGCUGUUUUUGGGGUGUUUUUGGGGUGCUGUAGGUCUGUUUUUGGGGUGUUCUUGGGGUGCUGCAGGGCUGUUAUCAGGCUGUUUUUGGGGUGCUGCAGGGCUGUUUUUGGGGUGUUUUUGGGGUGUUAUAGGGCUGUUUUUGGGGUGUUAUAGGGCUGUUUUUGGGGUGUUGUAGGGCUGUUUUUGGGGUGUUGCGGUGCCGUUCCCACACUCACCCUCCACCAGGCGGCCGUCGUCGGUGCGACACACGCAGCUGUCUGUGGACAGGAGAUCCUCCACCUGCAUCUGUGGGGCCGGGGUGCGUCGG
This is a long non-coding RNA of Phasianus colchicus (ring-necked pheasant), 1815 nucleotides long. NCBI's taxonomy places the organism in Eukaryota, Metazoa, Chordata, Aves, Galliformes, Phasianidae. The record is from Ensembl.